RNAcentral lists this non-coding RNA (23 nucleotides) under Cricetulus griseus (Chinese hamster). The record is from RNAcentral. Lineage: Eukaryota; Metazoa; Chordata; Mammalia; Rodentia; Cricetidae.
UGAGCGGACGGCAGGGAAGAAGG